UACGGGGGGGGCAAGCGUUGUUCGGAAUUACUGGGCGUAAAGCGCGCGUAGGCGGCUUUUCAAGUCAGACGUGAAAUCCCUCGGCUUAACCGGGGAACUGCGUCUGAUACUGGAUGGCUUGAGAUUGGGAGAGGGACGCGGAAUUCCAGGUGUAGCGGUGAAAUGCGUAGAUAUCUGGAGGAACACCGGUGGCGAAGGCGGCGUCCUGGACCAACACUGACACUGAGGAGCGAAAGCCAGGGGAGCAAACGGG
RNAcentral lists this ribosomal RNA (253 nucleotides) under uncultured bacterium. RNAcentral describes it as "partial 16S ribosomal RNA". It matches the Rfam family "Bacterial small subunit ribosomal RNA", at positions 524 to 776 of the family's 1533-position model. The record is from RNAcentral.